Molecule: ribosomal RNA, 314 nt
Filed under: uncultured Caldisericum sp.
Lineage: Bacteria; Pseudomonadati; Caldisericota; Caldisericia; Caldisericales; Caldisericaceae
Description: bacterial SSU rRNA
Rfam family: Bacterial small subunit ribosomal RNA
Source: RNAcentral
AUGUACGGUUAAGUCCGUGAACGAGCGCAACCCCUGCCCUUAGUUGCUAAUAUGCGAAAGCAUAUGCACUCUAAGGGGACCGCCAGCGGAAAGCUGGAGGAAGGUGGGGAUGACGUCAAAUCCUCAUGGCCUUUAUGUCCAGGGCUACACACAUGCGACAAUGGUCGAGACAACGCGUUGCAAACCAGUAAUGGUAAGCUAAUCGCAUAAAAUCGACCUCAGUACGGAUUGAGGGUUGCAAUUCACCCUCAUGAAGCUGGAGUUGCUAGUAACCGCAGGUCAGCUAUACUGCGAUGAAUACGUUCCCGGGGCUU